Molecule: unclassified non-coding RNA, 4328 nt
Filed under: Leishmania donovani
Lineage: Eukaryota; Euglenozoa; Kinetoplastea; Trypanosomatida; Trypanosomatidae
Description: gene:LdHU3.18.1460(CDS-product:hypothetical_prote in_conserved)
Source: RNAcentral
GCUGCCGACACACAGACACAGUCGCGCACCGUUGCAGUUGUGUGGAAACCACCAGGACCGAGCUGGCAGUGCCGUGUGAGAGCGACGUACAGCGCACACCUAAACUCUACGUUGUACAGCAGUCGAAGACCCUCACCCGGACAGGGUUGCUUCCCGUGAAGACACACAUGCACACACACGCACACAUACCCACACGUACACCCAUACACGUCUUUCAUUGCCUGUUUUCUUCGCUGGCGAGUCUCGUGGAUAGAAUCAUAGAUUGUUGUACCAUACGUUACCGUAGAACUUGCAGAGUUGGGCGGCCAAGUCACCACACAAACAGGCCAACAACCACGUACAUCCCCACACCCCCACCAACAAAAAAGGCAAAGGUACGUGGAGAGGGAAAGCUGCAUCCUCUUGAUUCGAAUUUUAUCGGCUUCGCUUCUUUGCUCUUGCGUUUCUUCAUUUCACAGACGUGAGCACGUUCGUGCUGUGUCUCCCCGCGUUUGUGUGCGCAUGCGCCGAGAAUCGCCAACGAGUCGAGGUGAAAGGGUACGCUGGCUCACGCGCUCGCGCAUUGCCAGUGCCGACUACCGUGAUCUCCCACGUUUGAAGAACGGUGGCUCUAAAUGGAAAAAUCUUCGCCGCCGCCACUGAAUGCUGCGACACCGAGUGCCAGCGGCGCUCCUACCGCUAGCGCAGUGCUGGUAGCGCAGCAGCCGGAAGCUAGCACGCCCCCGCCGACGGCGGCGAUACCGUCUUUACGCACCAGGCCAGAAACUCGCGCAAGCGUUGCUCCGACAGAUGACGAUGGGGUGGACGCAGCCGCCGAUCGUGACGGAUCUUCUUUGUACACUGCAAGUGGCGAGCAGGGCUCAUGGAGGGGGCGGCAGGAGAACGCGGAGGCCGUUUCAUUUGCAGGCGACGCUUCUGCCUUGCAGAGUGAGAGUGCUGCCGCUCUCGAACCUGCGGGGUCUCCGCCGGCGCUGCGGCGGCCGUCGCUUCUGUUCGACACGGCGGUGACCACAGACGCGCUGUUUGCGCGCGUCCAGCAGCCACCACGACCGCCAGAGUUGCCACAGGCGCACCCACCCCCCUCUGCUGGCGAUACAAAGCCUCGGCGCACGGCAGGGCCGAUCUCUUCCAUUCUUGGACGUCCUCCGCCGGCACCGCAAACUACUAUGACCACUGCCGCAGCACCUUCGGGCGGCUCGUACUUGUACUCCCAUCCUACCCCGCAGCGCGACUCCUCCGCGUCUUCCUCUCUGGUAAUGCCGCCUGUUGUGCCUGGGCGGCCGCGCAGCGCCUCCCCCACCUCGACUGUGGACUACAUUGAUAUCGAGCAUAAGCAGAACGAGCUGCGUCACGCGGUGGAGCACCACGUGCAGUCCCUAGAGCGCUCUCUCGCCUUGCGUGAGGAGGAAGUGGCCACCCUGUCAUCGCGACUGCGCAAGCUCGAGGAGGACUACCAGUUCAACUACAACCUCAUAGCGGAGCGGGAUGCUGCAUUGGAGGAGGCCUCGGGGCAGCUACAGCGGCUCUACCGCGAACUGAAGCGCCUGACAGAGGAGUCGACGCGCAUGGAGAAGAUAAUCGACACGGCGGAGAGUGAUAUCAAGGCGGCUCGGCAGCGUGUGCGUGAGGUGGAGGAGGAGCGCGACGCUGCGGUGCGGCAAGUGCAGAAGGACUACAUCAUAAAGGAGCGCUAUUUGGCGGAGGCCGUGCGCGCGAAGGAGGCGGCGCUCGAGAAGGAGCAGGCGGAGCAGCACGCGUGGUACAAGGAGCGAGCCAAGGCGUUGGAGGAGGAGCGCGCCGCCAUGUCUGAUCGCAGUGCUUUGGUGUCCACGGAGACGGAGGAGCGCUUCAAGCAGCAGGUCGCCCGACUACAGUCUGAGGUGGCGGGGCUGCAACAGGCGCUGAAGGACGCUCGCCAGCAGAAGGCAGACGCCGAAAACCGUAUUGUGGCAACGGAGGAGGCGAACGCCGCCCUCACGCACGAGUCUGCCGUGGCCCAGCAGCGUCACGAGGCUCUCGCACAGGAGGCGGCACUCGCCAAGAGGAACUUGGAGGAUCGACUUGUGCGAGUUGUCGGCGACGCUGAAAAGCGUCUCCUCGCAGCAGAGGCGACUGCGCGGGAGGAAGCGGGCCGCGCCUCGCGCGCGGAGCUAGAGCGCACUCGUCUCCAGUCAAUGCUGGCAGAGGUGCAGGAGCGCUUGCAGCACCUAACGACGCGCUACGAUGAGGACGUCGCCCGCUUCACGAAGGAGCGGCAGCAGCUCCUCAAGAGCAGCGAUGAGGCGAUGGCAGCCACCACCUCAGCAGAGCAGGCAUUACACGACACGAAGCGGGAGCUGGAGCAGCAGCGCCGCCUGGCCGCGGAGGAGGCGACACGUCUGCGACGCGAGAUCGAGCGCGCGCAGGAGACGUCCGAGGCGACCCACAAGGAGCUCGUGACUGUGAAAGAAAGCUGUCACAAAUGGAGGGCGCAGGCACAGCACCUUGAGGCCGAGGUGCAUCGCUGGAAGACGGAGGAGAGCAAGACGGCGGCCAGUGGACGGCUGGAGUGCUCCGCAUUGGAGGAGAAGUGCCGGCAGGCCGAGCUUCGGGUGCAGCUCCUCGAGGAGGAGGUCCAGCAGGCAAAGAAAACUCGGCAAGGUGCGGUGGAGCAGGCGCAGGCCGAGGCGAUGCGGCUCACGCGCGAGCUUCACGCCAGCGAGGCGGCGCGUCGCGCUCUGGAGGAUCAGUUUCACCUGCAGGAAGACGUCAGGGAGGGGCGAGAUGGGCUUCAGAUGCUGCGCAUGGAGAAGGAGCAGCUGCAGAAGCGUGUGGCGGAGCUCGAGCACACCAACGCAGAAGUAAGACUGCAAGUGGCCAACUUCGCUGCUGAAUUGCAGAACGACCCGGUCAUCAAGGCUGCCAAAGAGACACAGCAGCGCGCUGUAGCGCUGCAGCAGGAGUUGGAACAGGCCAGGGCGGAGGUGCAGCUGCUGCAGGGCUCGCUGAGGGACAAGGAGGAGGAGAUGGCGCGACUGCAAACUGAGCUGUUGCGUGUGCAGGUUCUCGUCACCAGCGACGAAACAGAGUUGCCCCCUCUGGACAUGCAGACCCGGCUCGCCGCUGGCGCUGCCCACCUCAGCGACCACGUCUCGCGUGCGCUGCAGCGACAGCAGCAGCAGAUGCGCUCAGAGUACAGCCGCAUGCGCGAAUCAUACGAGGAGAUGGUGCGCGAGCUGGACCGACAGCGACGUCGUCGGCGCAGGCCGGCGCGACGUUCGCGCACUGCAUCAGCGGCCUCGUCGUCCUCGACGAACUCUUCGUCAACUCGGGAAGCCGAGCUCCCGGGGCGACAUCGCAAGCGAGGGGGUGAGGAGCCGCCGGCCGCCGCCGGCGCCUCCGUUCCGCCAGCACUUCCCGACUCCAGGACGACACACCUCCUGCAGGAGUCGGAGGUGUGGCGCCAGCGAUGCGUGCAGCUGGAGCAGCAGUUGCUCACCGUGCUGCGUGAGCGCGAUCGCCUCAAGAAGGAGCUGCAGCUGGCCAAACAGGACGCCGCGGCCCUCGGUGCCGAGAAGGCUUCUCUGGUGGACCUUAACUCGCUUCUGAAGGCGCAGCUACGAGAGGCGUAUCGGCUGCGUGCGGAUGACGCUAACGUUCGGCUGGCGCGAGGACCCACGACGGCCAACCCCUCUGCCCGUGGAUCGGAGGUACGCAUCUCUCCUGAACUUUUGGCGGCAGCUCUCCAGGCGUUGGAAGACGGCACUGCUGCCGGUUGCGACAUAGCGGGCAGGCCUCGCGCGCGGAGUGCGGCGGGUGCGGAGGCAAACACGACGCGGCGCCGCUCACGCGCCGACGAGGCAUCAACGCUGAAGGAGUCGCCUGUUGUGCGCUCCACCCGCGGCUAUUCCGCACCAUCGCCCUCGCCCUCGCCCGUUGCUUCGCAAUCCAUGUCAGCGCAGCAGGCGCAGGAGCGGUUGACCACGCUGGAGCACGAGAUAGAGGCCGUUCGUGAGCAGCUCGCUACCGCCUCUAGCACGGCGCAGCAGCAGCGCCAACACGGCCAGGCGGUGGUUCGCCGUGGCAACGCGGCUGUGCGGCACUACGGUCUCGGUGACUGAGGCUGCUCCUGAAGUAGUCUACGAGGGGCACAAGUACCACACUUUUUUUGUUUGCUUUUGUGCGGCUUCUCCAGCAGCGCACUUACACCGUGGACGGGCGAUGCGAGCAAUAAGGAUUGCCUGCGAGUCGGCGAAGGGGAGGGUGUGGAGGGCCGACACGAGCGCCACCACAAACUCUUUCCAUGGAUCGCUCGAGCGAUAGCGACCGAGAGGUGCCGGGAAGAUGGG